This 10139-nucleotide long non-coding RNA is filed under the name Lynx pardinus (Iberian lynx). The record is from RNAcentral. Lineage: Eukaryota; Metazoa; Chordata; Mammalia; Carnivora; Felidae.
AGUUUAAAUAGUGAUUUUUAAAAUGCCAAUCAAAAAAAAAAGUGCAAACAAAAUUAAAUAAUUCUAGCAGCAUACCCGUUGCAUUUUUAGGAAAGACCAAUUCAUGGCCACAUCUUCAAGGUUGGGCUUAUUUCUUUGAUUUUUCCAUUUUAAAGACAAACAGCAGAUGUAACCACUAUAAUAUAUAUAAAUAGUCAGAAAAUUGUCUUUAAUAGUCUACCAUACAAGUGUAUUCUGCAAAUAAAAUGAAUUUUACUUUAAAAAGUAAAGGCUGUUUAUUGUUCGGCCUUUGGUUCCACUGCUUGAAAACCCCAAAAUAACAAAAAAUAUCUCCCCUCCUCCCACCCCCCCAAAAAGAACCCUGCAGCUCCCCAAAGUUGGUAGACUUUGGCAACCACUGAGCACAUGACAUAUUACGCGCACCAGCGUCUUCCGCUACUAGGAGCAGCCACUCGUUACGAGAAACUCAAAGUGAUCCCCAAGAAAUCUUCCCUCACAAGACAGGUGUCUUAGCACUUCAUCAGUUUUAGUACAUCUUAUAUUGACACAAAAGUGCUUAUUAGUUUAAAUGACAAAAAAAAAACUUUGUAAAAAGUAAAAUUUUGCAUUAAAAUUUGAAAUCACACUGUAUCCCCCACAGGCAUGUGCCUUUCGAAUAAUUCUGUCUUGUUUCUGAGGUCAAUCAUUUUGCCCCUACCCCCACCCGAGCUGCUGUAGAGAGAGGGACUAAGUGACCCCCCCAUCAGUGUGGCCACAGCUGUUGGGCAUCUACUGGUCACUACACCACAACUAUCCUUAUACAGUCAGUUUACUGUCAUUACGUGGACAAUCUGGUGAUUGGAAGCCACAAUACAUUAAACAAAUAACUGAAUUUAAAAAGGGGUGGAAAAGUGUAUUUUUAACAAUAAAACUGGCACAAAAAACAUGUUUUUAUGUUUGUCAGAAAGGCAACUAAAUACUCAGCUUUCUCCUUAACAGUGUUCAGACCUUUACAAAAAAAGCAAUUCAAGACAGUCUUAUUAGAGUCUUUGUAUAUACAACACAGGAUAUUAAGUUAUGCCCAGUACUAUGUUAGUGGUCAAUCAAAUCUGGUAUGUAAAAGUGAUGACGUUAGGGAAGUUAUUUUCAGACACAGUACAACAAACAUUCAUAUAAAAAAAGUAAACUCCACAUAAGUGAACUGUGGUUUUUUUCCCUUGGUUUGACAACAAAUGUUUUAUAUAUUAAAUCAAUGGUAGUGUUUGCAUUCAAAUGUUGUGUCGCAUAUAAAAUUAAAAGUGCCAUUUCAAAUCCACAGAAGUCAUUUCUAGAAUGGUGGUAUGACAUGAUGAUGUGCAUGAAUUUGCUCUACACGGAGACACGGAAACUCUUGUUUCCAUAAGAAAGAAAUGCUACAUUUUAUGAAAAACACAAGUAAGAGAAAUGUAUCAUUUCCAUUUGCAAUAUAAAACAUUCACACUUAUUUGUCCAUCUGAUAGCACUGAUCAGACCAGAGAGCUAGGACAAGACCCUUUUGCAUCAAUGGAACUCUGUGAAGGUAUCCACAGACCAUAAGGCAGGGAUUGGUGCAAGCCAAUUCAUCAGAGUGCAAUUACAUUACAAACCUCCCUCAAACUUUCUGUAGCACACUGCAUUAUGGUAAAAUGAGAGGUUGGUCACCCAUUCUCUGUUAGUAGGCCAGCCUGUGGUAGUAUAAAAUUUUUUUCUUUAAUUUAAAAAACAAAGCAGGAGCUAUUUAGAAAACACAAUGCAAAGUUAAACUAAUUUUGUAACUGCUGACUUUAAACACACUCCACAGUGAAUGCCCCCCCGACGCACAUGCGUGGAGCCCAGCUCGUCCUGAGGACACGGCCUGGGCCACACGUGUGAGUCUCAGGCAGCUGCCAUCUUCCCCACCCGUGUCAGCUCCACCUGACUCAGGCACCCCCACACUUUACACAUCUUUCUUAAGUUAGAGAUGCAUUCAGAACAAAUCUUAUUCCCAUUUUCUCAGUAUUUAGUUUGGAAAUACUUUUAAAUCUUAAAAAUGAUUAUUCGACUUUCUACCGAACACACGGUAUUUACUAACACCGCUCGUCUCCUCCUUCCUCAUCUCCUCCAACGUUCAGCUUCCCCACCGUCACUUCUCGAAUUCCUCCUUUCCGUCGUUCUCUUUCCUGGACUUGCUGCUACUUAAUCUGCUUCCCAAGAACAAGUGAAUUUGCUAACACGCAACUGGUCAGACUAACCGCCCUCUGAUCAUUGAUUUCCUGGUCUCAUAUGCUCCACCCUGAAAGAAAGUGGGCCAUCUUUCUCUCGAUCUACCCUCCCUUUCACAAAAGGCCCUGCUGCGCUUGCUUCUCACAAGAGAGCCACAUGCCUGAGAGUCCAAGGGUUAUCCUUAACAAAGGGGUCUGACACGUAACUUUCCUAAAUGUGCAUUUCAUAUUUGGACAAGCCAAUGAAGUAUUUUUUAAGUUCAUCUCCCCUGCCCCAAAAAACUGAUAGCAUGUGCCAUAUCAGAAAAAUCCUUGUCUUAGCAGAUCAAUAUACAUAGUUAUUUGGUCAUUUUACAUAUGCACUUUUUAAGGAGGAUCAGGCUUCAUUUUCUGUUGAAGAGUUUGUUACCAUGGAGUCUGGUUUUCGAGUCAUUCUAUCCAGUUCUUCCUGAACAUUUGUCAACACAGUCUUUUGUCCUUAAAAAAAAAAAAAAGAAAGAAAGAAAGAAAAAGCAGCAGUGAUGGGAAACAGAAAAGAAUUUUUUAAAAGGAACAUUUAAAAUGAUACAGAUUUCUGUAAUCACUUGUGGUGAUAAUAACCUCAGUAAGAAUGAAAGCAAGCCUUUUUUUCAUUGCAGUGAUGACGAGGAGAUACCCUAAUUCAACCCUUCCUUCCAAACAUGACAGGUCCGUGUUCCUCUGACUACAUAACUGCCCCCUGCCUGGGCAAGCCUUUGUGCCAAAUAUAAGGGCCUUUCUGAAAACACUCUCACCACCCACCCCUGACCCCAUGCACUGUCAUCACCUCCUUCUUAGAGGUGGUGUGUGAGUUUCUGGCAUAAGGCAAACUACUUUCUGUGCCUCAGACAGAACAGGUGUUUAGGUUUUGUUUUUAAUUACAAUACUUUAACUCAUAUGAGUACCCUGGAAACACCAUGCUUCAAUAAGAAUAUAAGACUAAGGUCAGACGUUUCAAUCCUGCACAAAGUCAGUGCUCAUAUUUUUUUGUUUUCAAAUGCUAGCUGGGACCUGGAAAUGACCCUUCUCUCCUAUCAGAAAUACCAGCCCACAGCCUAGGCCACCAGACCAGGUGGAGUCUCUAAGAACUCAGGAGCCCCUGAAGGACCGGCUGACCUGAGGAUGGAGUGAUCUCCUGAGGGACUCCUUUGAUCUGAAAACACCAAUUAGGGAAAACACUGUAUAGGAUAGUAUAGUCAAAGGAAAGUUAAAAACAAACCCAUUUUAAAAUGGCCUAGUGGGGCGCGUGGGGCGCUCAGCCAGUUAGUGUCUGACUUCGGCUCAGGUCAUGAUCUCAUGGUCCCUGAGUUUAAGCCCCACGCCGGGCUAUGUGCUGACAGCUCAGAGCCUAGAGCCUGGAGCCUGCUUCGGAUUCUGUGUCUCCUUCUCUCUCUGUCCCUCCCCUGCUCACACUCUGUCUCUCAGAAAUAAAUAAACGUUUAAAAAAAAAGAAAAGAAAAGAAAAGAAAAAAAGCCUGGAGCUUCCCAGCAAAAUGGGUAAUUCCCAAGGAACUCGGCUCUUUUGUUUCAGAGGCCUCAAGACAUACACUUGCUCUACUGGCCCACACGAAAGGAGUGUGGGUUGCCACAGAGAGUGUGCCUGUGACAAGGGGGGAGCUUCAUGGAGCAGGAAUUGAUGACCCUCCAGUGAGACAGGCUCAGCUCAUGGCAAGACUGGGGACAGUGAACAAAUAUCCUUAUAAAACAUAACAGAAAAUUAAAUAUAAUAAAUAAAAUAUCAGUGCCACACCCUAGACCAUGACCUCCAACAAACAGUUCCAAUACCAGGGUCACAUAUUCAGUUUAGGAUAUAACUCAACUCACCCAAUAGUCAGUUCCUGAGAACCCAAUGUAUACAAAUCCCACCUUUAAAUGUGCCAAAGAAACCUGCAUGCUGUAAAGUGUACUGCUCAGUACAAGGUGGAGAUGUGCUUACUUGCUUGGCUGUUGGGAACACGGAGGACGUGCACAUCAGGUAAAGGCAUACGCUCCUGUCCACUCCCCCACCUCCAGCACUGCUCAACCACAAGAAUCAUAGGUUUCCAAGGGCCCUUUAGUACCUGACUUCUUGGCUGCGCUCUGCACACCACCAGCACCAGGACUUCCAGGAGAACCUGUCUUUUUACUCAGCAGACUAUUGAAGAAGCUGGCCAACACACCUUCACUUGCUGCGUUAUCUAAGGAAACAUUAAGAAAAAAAGCCUUACACCACCAGGAUGACUCAAUUACCACCACCACAAAACUAGUUUUCAGCUUGGAAUUAUCCAUCUGUGGCUAUCAUCUUCCCAGGACACUGAGCACAUUCAUUAUUGCCACUGCCAAGGCUACUUCCCUAUUAACAUGGUAAGUGCAAAUCUGUUUAGAUUUCCCACCUAUCUGGGGACAUAAUAGAACUCAUGCUCCACAUCAUCUCCCUGUCCAUGAGGCAGUGUUUCCCAAAGUUUUAUAAGCCCUUAACAUUCCAAGGCUGAUGUGAAAAGGUCUCAUUCUGAGUUGGAGAUAGCUACUGUACACAUAAGAAUUAAAUAAAAUUUUGUUUUGCGAGUUUUAUUGUAACCAACACAUUUAGAUAUUACUAAGUCACUAAGAUAAGGGCUACUUAAACUUCUAAGUAACUGAGCUUGAAAAGAGAAGUGAAGGGGGAAGAAAAUGCCAUAGUUCAUAUAUGAUAAUCAUUUAAAAAUGAGAAACAAAAUCAAGGACUCAAAAUAUACACUGUAUUUUAUUUUACUUAUUUUUAAAAGUACUCACCACACCCAAUAUGGGGCUUGAACUCACAACCCCAAGAUCAAGAGUCGCAUGCCCUAGGGGCACCUGGGUGGCUCAGUCAAUUAAGCAUCCGACUUCGGCUCAGGUCACGAUCUCAUGGUUUGUGGGUUUAAGCCCUCCAUCAGGCUCUGUGCUGACAGCUCAGAGCCUGGAGCUGGCUUCGGAUUCUGUGUCAAUCUCUCUCUCUGUCCCUCCCUUACUCGUGCGCUCUCUCAAAAAUAAAUAAACAUUAAAAAAAAAAAAAAAGUUGCAUGCUCAACCAGCUGAGCCAGCCAGCCAGGGGCCCCUCAAAUUACACAUUUUUAAAAAUUUACUACUUAUUUACUUAAGACUUAUUUUUAUUUUGGGGCACCUGGGUGGCUCAGUCAGUUAAGCAUCCAACUUCAGCUCAGGUCAUAAUCUUGCAGUCUGUGAGUUUGAGCCCCGCGUCAGGCUCUGUGCUGACAGCUCAGAGCCUGGAGCCUGCUUCGGAUUCUGUGUCUUCUCCUGUCUCUGCCCCUCCCAUGCUCAUGCUCUGUCUCUCUCUCUCUCUCUCUCUCUCAAUAAUAAAUAAACAUUAAAAAAAAAAAAAGAUUUAUUUUUAUCUUGUUUUGAGAGAGAGAGAGAGAGAGAGAGACAGAGAGAGAGAGAGAGAGAGAAGUGGGGCUCACCCAAAGUGGGGGCUCAUGCUCACCUGAAGCGGGGCUCAAACUCCCAAACGGUGAGAUCACGACCUGACUCAAAGUCAGAUGCUUAACCAACUGAGCCACCCAAGCGCCCUUAUUUAUUUUAAAAGUUUAUUUAAGAGAGACACACAGUGAGCGGAAGAGGGGCAGGGAGACAGGGGAACAGAGGAUCAGAAGCGGGCUCCGUGCUGACAGCAGAGAGCCCAAUGUGGGUCUCGAGCUCUGAAACUGCAAGAUCAUGCAUGACCUGAGCCGAAGUCAGACGUUCAAUUGACUGAGCUACUCAGACGCCCCCUUAUUUAUUUUUAAUGUUUAUUUAGUUUGAGAGAGCGAGCGAGCAUGCAAGUGUCAGGGGAAGAGAAAGAGAGAGAAUCCCAUACUGACAGUGUGGAGCUUGAUCCCAUGAACUGUGAGAUUAUGACCUGAGCCAAAAUCAAGAGUUAGACAUUCAACAGACUGAGUCACCCAGACACCCCUCAAAAUACACAUUAUAAAGUGAUUAUGUUGUAUUCCUCUUUGAAAGAACCUGCAUGGCCUGAUACAGAACCAAGUGUAAGGGCCAUUGAUUCCAACAAAGGAACCAGCCUUAGUGUCUGCCAACCACGAGCCCCUUCCCUUUGAGCGAAGGAAAGUGGAAAGCAGCCCCUUCUUGGGGAAGAGAACAGCCCAGUUGCCACGGGCCUCCACGUUCCAAACCCAGCCACAUAGCCCCUUCAGAGCUCAGGCCCAAGACUAAACACUCUCCACAGAGGCAGGAUACAUACUUUUGAUGUUUGGGUCCGGCUUCUUUACUGAUGUGCCUGGGGAGGCACUAGGCACACUUGCUGGCCCUCCCCGGCCCUGAGUUCUUGGAGAGCCAGAGGGUCCUCUCGCAGGGGAUUCCUAAGUCCAAAACCAGCUCAAGUUACAUACAGGCAUAAAAAUAACAGGAAAUACACAUCCCCAAAACGAAGACAUGCUCUGCAGGAUAUUUUUCACAGCGUAAGGAGAAGGGAGGUAGGACUGGGAGUUUGCCCCCAGCUCAGUCUCUUUCUAGACCUUAGUUUCUCCUUAGAGAAGAGACAUCAAGAUAAUGAAACCUGCACACUCUAUUUCCCAGAGCUGUAUUCCUUUCCUGAGUCUCCUACUAUGUUCCUGGCCCUGGGCUUUUAGGGAAACCAAAUUCCCUUUGAAAAUACAAAAACCCACACAAAUGUAAGCUCUUACAAAUGAUGGCAUAAAGUGUGAAGACACCUACAACACUGAGCCUUGACCCCAUUUAGUUUAAGGUACUCACAGAAGCUCUCGUGGGCGUGGCUGGCUGCUUGGCAAGGAGUGACUGCAAAGAGAGGGACACACUGGCCAUUAAUAGAGGCCUGCAGAGUGGACGGAAAGUCUGGAGAAACACUUCCCAGUACUCCACUAGAGGGCGCCAUUAAUAACAACCAAGUCACGUUUUAUAUUAUACAUGCAAAAUGUUUAAAUUCAGAAAUUUGCUACAUGGUGAAAAAAAUAAUUCAAGUAACCAGUUUUGGAAGCAAGGAGAUCACAGAAAGGAGGACCAGCUGGCAAAAAAACCCCAUCAACACCCUCCGCAGAGCUGCCUGGACCAUCAGGAAGACCUAUGACAGGUCUAAGUGGCAUGUCUAACAAUAGUCCUAGUAAAACAGGAAGGAGAGACUGGGUUUGCAUUCUGAACUGUCAGCUUGUGGAAGUUACUCUCCUCACCUACUAAAUGGGUACAUCAGCUCACCUGCCUUCAUGCACAGGGCUGUGUGGGGCUAUGUGAAAUAAUGGAAGUGAAGUCAGGGCACUUGGUAAACUGUCAACACAGGAAGUAUUAUGCCAAAAAACCUAAUUUCCAGAAAGAAAGGGUACUUAAAAUGAUACCAAGCCUAUCAUUGUUGAGAAUCUGCAAGCAGACAGGGGAUCACCUGAGGCAGCUGGUCUAACUCCUACUCUGUACCAAUGCCAGAAAUGGGAGGGAACAAGGAGACCUGGUAGCAAUCCCUUUAAUGCUGCAAGCUCUUUGUGAUGCCCUCCACCUCAUCCCAGGGCACUGGCAUUUCAUGCAAGAGAAGGCCUCUGCUCUGGCCUCACUGGUUUUUCUUACCUGUUGCUUCAUUAGGAACACCUGCUCAUCCUCGGCUGCCAACUCUUUGUCAUGGACCAGCUGUGAAGUGAAGUGACAUACUCAUUUGUGGUCACAGGCCAAGAACACCCGAACUACUGUCAAAAUUCUCACUGAAAGAAGAAUCUUGGGCUCAGGUCUCAACACGGGUCCAGGGAGAAUCCCUGCAGCAACAGCGCAAUUAUGUUUUUUUAGCCUGGCACCAACUCUAUUCCAAGACCAGCCAUGCCAUGUGGCCAACUGACAUUUUUUUUUUUUAAAUUUUUUUUUCAAUGUUUAUUUAUUUUUGGGACAGAGAGAGACAGAGCACGAAUGGGGGAGGGGCAGAGAGAGGGAGACACAGAAUCGGAAACAGGCUCCAGGCUCUGAGCCAUCAGCCCAGAGCCUGACGCGGGGCUCGAACUCACGGACCGUUCCAACUGACAUUUUUAAGUGGCAGGUUCUCAACAACCCCUCUCAGAUCAGGGCCUGAAGAUCAGGGGAGCACAGGGAUCUCCUAACAGUAAUCCCGAGGUAGCGGUGGCAUUGUCAGGACUUAGUAGGAAACUUCAACCCAACUCCUUGCGGCCUUGUGGGCCCUCCAGCACUCACAUCCCACCACCUGGAGCCAUUUACAUUCACACCAGGCUUCACCUAAACUUUUUUUAAGAGGCUCUUGGAUUACAUUUUUCUUCCCCCCAAAAUGGUUCAAUGUGUAAGACAUAUCUCUUUAAAUGUUUCUUUUCCCAUAAAAAAAAAAAAAAACAACAACAAAAAACAAAAAACACAGAAAAACGCCUACAACUCAAAGUGACUGAUCUGGGUACCUUUCUCACAGGAGGUUUCACAAUAAAAUCUUCAUAUGCAUCUUCUGGCUUCACAGUUGUGAAAUUUUCAUGUAAAAUAGCUAUUUUCUUUUCGUUGUCCCAGCCUGCAGGUCUAAAAGCAAAGAGACAGGGAUUGAUUUGCUUUUCCUGGGACUGCCUUAUAGCACAUGUUAGGUAACAUUCCGGGUUAGCGAGGACUCCUAGGUGAGACCCAUUCCCACAAAAUCUGGCCUGUAGCUGCUGGGGCUGGCUUGUAGCUUGUGGCAGGAAAGCCAAAAUUUACUGCCGGCAUAACCAAUCAGAUUGACAUGGCAGGUUCUGUCCUGUACUGAGCUCAUGGGGCCCAAAACCUAGGAGCCAGAGUCAGAUCUUACUGACUCCACAUGCUGACCCACAGGAAGUGUUCAGAGUUUUCACACAACUCCACCCAGAAGAGCAAGGACACAAUGGGGCCUUGUUCCCACAGAGCGGAGGACAUAGAGAGCAGCACAGACACAGCUCCGGAUGAGACCGUUUCUCUCGGGCUUUGGUGUAGAAGAACUCAGAAGUCUUCUGAAAACAGUUUUCUUGUGGACUAGUUCAUUAAUUUUACUGGUGUGGGAAGAUGUACCGUGGAACAAAGCAGGGCAGCAGGAUCUGCACUCUCCUGGGCUGCAAACCAGAGGGACACAAGGAGUCCUUGAGGCUCCUACAUAGGUGCUGCCCUGCUUGAGAUCACUAAGCAGGAUGGCAUCCACGUUCCAUUAAGUUAAGCCACGGUAGCCUACUGUUCCCAGAUUCUCACAGGUCUCCCUUUCUCCACCUAAGUCCUACUUCACUGCUCCACAACCAAGAGGGCGCUCUUACCCAGGGUGCUCCACCCAAAUGGUUUUGCUGACUUCACCAGUUCCCAAACAGGCAAACUACCAAAGGAUCAAAGAUUCAAAGGGACAGGGUAUGAUCAAGAUACAGCCACAACCCAAGCAACCUUCGGAAGGUGUGAGAUGCUUCUCCUCUCCAGACCAGCCCUGAUCCUCAACCUGUCUUCCUGGGGCGUCCUGUUCCUCAGGAUCACAAGUAAUUUGGGCACUCACGUAUCAUUCACUGAGCUUGUGUCUUUGAUGCCUGUGUGAUUGCUCUGGACAGCAAUCCUCUAAAAGCCACCCAAGGCUCUAGCUCUGCCAUCUGUGAGGAGCCCAAAUGAGGCUCUCCCUAAAUGUUCAGGAAGCAACCUAUUCAGUGCCAAGAGCUCUUGGCUAUCACAUCUUCAGCCUUCUGAGAGGCUGUUCCUCCUACCCCUCCAUUCCUUCUAGCCUGCCUAGCACACACACACACUCAGCCUUCCAGCAUCACCCCUCUGCCCUCCCUGCCACACUGCCUCCACUACCACUCCAUUACUGCUCCACCCCUGCCCUCCAGUGCUGUGUGCAGGGACCAUAUCUUGUUCACUUCUGUGUCCUUAGCAUAGAACCCAGACACCUAGGAAGUACUCGGCAAUUGCUGAAUGAACUGUAAUUCUGAAGUCAAGAGGAUAUCGAAGCCUACAAACACUGAUCUACUAGCACAAGUCCUCUCCGAGGCCACACAGCUUCAU